AUGACAAAUAUGGUUCGAUGGCUCUUCUCUACUAACCACAAGGAUAUUGGGACUCUCUAUUUCAUCUUCGGUGCCAUUGCAGGAGUGAUGGGCACAUGCUUCUCCGUACUGAUUCGUAUGGAAUUAGCCCGACCCGGCGAUCAAAUUCUUGGUGGGAAUCAUCAACUUUAUAAUGUUUUAAUAACGGCUCAUGCUUUUUUAAUGAUCUUUUUUAUGGUUAUGCCGGCGAUGAUAGGUGGAUUUGGUAAUUGGUUUGUUCCGAUUCUGAUAGGUGCACCUGACAUGGCAUUUCCACGAUUAAAUAAUAUAUCAUUCUGGUUGUUGCCACCAAGUCUCUUGCUCCUAUUAAGCUCAGCCUUAGUAGAAGUGGGCAGCGGCACUGGGUGGACAGUCUAUCCGCCCUUAAGUGGUAUUACCAGCCAUUCUGGAGGAACAGUUGAUUUAGCAAUUUUUAGUCUUCAUCUAUCAGGUAUUUCAUCAAUUUUAGGUUCUAUCAAUUUUAUAACAACUAUCUUCAACAUGCGUGGACCUGGAAUGACUAUGCAUAGAUUACCACUUUUUGUGUGGUCCGUUCUAGUGACAGCAUUCCUACUUUUAUUAUCACUUCCGGUACUGGCGGGGGCAAUUACAAUGUUAUUAACCGAUCGAAACUUUAAUACAACCUUUUUUGAUCCUGCAGGAGGGGGAGACCCAAUAUUAUACCAGCAUCUCUUUUGGUUCUUCGGUCAUCCAGAGGUGUAUAUUCUCAUUCUGCCUGGAUUUGGUAUUAUUAGUCAUAUCGUAUCGACCUUUUCAAGAAAACCGGUCUUCGGGUAUCUAGGCAUGGUUUAUGCCAUGAUAAGUAUAGGUGUUCUUGGAUUUCUAGUUUGGGCUCAUCAUAUGUUUACUGUGGGCUUAGACGUUGAUACGCGUGCCUACUUCACCGCAGCUACCAUGAUCAUAGUUGUGCCCACAGGAAUCAAAAUCUUUAGUUGGAUCGCUACCAUGUGGGGAGGUUCGAUACAAUACAAAACACCCAUGUUAUUUGCUGUAGGGUUCAUCUUUUUGUUCACCAUAGGAGGGCUCACUGGAAUAGUUCUAGCAAACUCUGGGCUAGACAUUGCUCUACAUGAUACUUAUUAUGUGGUUGCACAUUUCCAUUAUGUACUUUCUAUGGGAGCCGUUUUUGCUUUAUUUGCUGGAUUUUACUAUUGGGUGGGUAAAAUCUUUGGUCGGACAUAUCCUGAAACUUUAGGCCAAAUCCAUUUUUGGAUCACUUUUUUCGGGGUUAAUCCGACCUUCUUUCCCAUGCAUUUCUUAGGGCUUUCGGGUAUGCCACGUCGCAUUCCAAAUUAUCCAGAUGCUUACGCCGGAUGGAAUGCUCUGAGAAGUUUCGGUUCUUAUAUAUCCGUAGUUGGGAUUCGUCGUUUCUUCGUAGUUGUCGCAAUCACUUCAAGC
Molecule: ribosomal RNA, 1437 nt
Filed under: Triticum aestivum (bread wheat)
Lineage: Eukaryota; Viridiplantae; Streptophyta; Magnoliopsida; Poales; Poaceae
Description: partial small subunit ribosomal RNA
Source: RNAcentral